AGAGUUUGAUCCUGGCUCAGGAUGAACGCUUGCGGCAGGCUUAACACAUGCAAGUCGAGGGGUAACGAUAUCUUCGGAUAGGCGACGACCGGCGGACGGGUGCGUAACACGUAUGCAACCUACCUUGUACAGGAGGAUAGCCCAGAGAAAUUUGGAUUAAUACUCCAUAGUAUUAUCGAAUCGCAUGAUUUGAUAAUUAAAACUCCGGUGGUACAAGAUGGACAUGCGUCCCAUUAGCUAGUUGGUAAGGUAACGGCUUACCAAGGCAACGAUGGGUAGGGGUUCUGAGAGGAUGAUCCCCCACACUGGUACUGAGACACGGACCAGACUCCUACGGGAGGCAGCAGUGAGGAAUAUUGGUCAAUGGGCGCAAGCCUGAACCAGCCAUGCCGCGUGCAGGAAGACGGCCCUAUGGGUUGUAAACUGCUUUUCUGUAGGAAGAAUAUUAUCUACGUGUAGAUAACUGACGGUACUACAGGAAUAAGGACCGGCUAACUCCGUGCCAGCAGCCGCGGUAAUACGGAGGGUCCGAGCGUUAUCCGGAUUCAUUGGGUUUAAAGGGUGCGUAGGCGGCCAAAUAAGUCAGUAGUGAAAUCCAACGGCUCAACCGUUGAAGUGCUAUUGAAACUGUAUGGCUAGAAUUCAGAUGGAGUGGGCGGAAUGUGUUGUGUAGCGGUGAAAUGCAUAGAUAUAACACAGAACACCAAUCGCGAAGGCAGCUCACUAAGGUGAAAUUGACGCUAAUGCACGAAAGCGUGGGGAGCGAACAGGAUUAGAUACCCUGGUAGUCCACGCCGUAAACGAUGAUUACUGGUUGUCGGCGAUACACAGUCGGCGGCUGAGCGAAAGUAUUAAGUAAUCCACCUGGGGAGUACGAUCGCAAGGUUGAAACUCAAAGGAAUUGACGGGGGCCCGCACAAGCGGUGGAGCAUGUGGUUUAAUUCGAUGAUACGCGAGGAACCUUACCUGGGCUCAAACGCAUAGCGACGUAAGUGGAAACAUUUAUUUCUUCGGACGCUAUGCGAGGUGCUGCAUGGUUGUCGUCAGCUCGUGCCGUGAGGUGUCGGGUUAAGUCCCAUAACGAGCGCAACCCCUAUCCUUAGUUGCCAGCACAUAAUGGUGGGGACUCUAAGGAAACUGCCGGCGCAAGCCGCGAGGAAGGUGGGGAUGACGUCAAAUCAGCACGGCCCUUAUGUCCAGGGCUACACACGUGCUACAAUGGUCGGUACAGAGGGCAGCUACCUGGUGACAGGAUGCGAAUCUCAAAAGCCGAUCUCAGUUCGGAUCGGAGUCUGCAACUCGACUCCGUGAAGUUGGAAUCGCUAGUAAUCGCGUAUCAGCCAUGACGCGGUGAAUACGUUCCCGGGCCUUGUACACACCGCCCGUCAAGCCAUGGAAGCUGGGGGUGCCUAAAGUUCGUGACCGCAAGGAGCGACCUAGGGUAAAACUAGUAACUGGGGCUAAGUCGUAACAAGGU
This 1477-nucleotide ribosomal RNA is filed under the name metagenome. RNAcentral's name for it is "bacterial SSU rRNA". It matches the Rfam family "Bacterial small subunit ribosomal RNA". The record is from RNAcentral.